AAACACUUAGUGUUAUAGAAAUAAUGUUCCAGCAUAAUAUUUUAAGCAUUCUGUGUUACGGCCAAUAUUUUAUAUCAACAAUUCAGUUUAACUUUAAUACGGAAAACGAAACAAUACUUGAUGGACAAAGUUUUAUUAAAAAUAUUAUUAAUGGGAAAGUAUCAUAUGCUAUCAGUGAUAUUGAUCUCUGGUACUUUGGCGAAUGUAUCUCUUAGAAGAGGGGUGUCCAUGACAACAGUAGGAGUAACAGGAAGCGGUUUUAUUCGUAGACAUGGAAGUAAUAUGGAUUUAAAUGCUGAUCUUCAAGAAUGCAAGUGUCCACCAAAUAAUGAGUGCAAAAUAGAAUAUAAAUUAGACACAAAUGUCUUACAUCUUCAACAUCUACGUGGUAUAAUAGAGGAUCAUGAUCUCCGAAGGUUUUAUAAAGAAAACAACAACUCAAUCGUUGUGAGACGAAGACGCAAUAGUGGUAAUACGUGUUGCUGUCCAAUGAUAGUGGCAAAAGUACCAGCUUUUAUAACGGAAAAAAGGUUUAAGGAUGUCAUAAAACGUUUUGAAAAUAAUAAAAUCUCUUAGUCUAGAUUAAUUAAUUCUUUUAUUAAAUAUAUUGUGUAGACAAAAGCCGAAA
Pieris brassicae (large cabbage white) is the source of this 628-nucleotide long non-coding RNA. RefSeq lists it as uncharacterized. The transcript is spliced from 3 exons. NCBI's taxonomy places the organism in Eukaryota, Metazoa, Arthropoda, Insecta, Lepidoptera, Pieridae. The record is from RefSeq and is a predicted model, not a curated record.